Molecule: ribosomal RNA, 487 nt
Filed under: uncultured bacterium
Lineage: Bacteria
Description: partial 16S ribosomal RNA
Rfam family: Bacterial small subunit ribosomal RNA
Source: RNAcentral
GAUGGACGCUAGCGAUAGGCUUAACACAUGCAAGUCGAGGGGCAGCACAAGGUAGCUUGCUAUCUGGGUGGCGACCGGCGCACGGGUGCGUAACGCGUAUGCAACUUGCCCUAUACAGGAGGAUAACCCGUCGAAAGACGGACUAAUACUGCGUAUGCUCACAACUUGGCAUCAAGUGGUGAGGAAAGAAAUUCGGUAUAGGAUAGGCAUGCGUCCCAUUAGCUUGUUGGUGAGGUAACGGCUCACCAAGGCAACGAUGGGUAGGGGAACUGAGAGGUUUAUCCCCCACACUGGUACUGAGACACGGACCAGACUCCUACGGGAGGCAGCAGUGAGGAAUAUUGGUCAAGGGGCGCGAGCCUGAACCAGCCAAGUCGCGUGAAGGAUGACUGUCUUAUGGAUUGUAAACUUCUUUUAUACGGGAAUAACAAGAGUCACGUGUGACUCCCUGCAUGUACCGUAUGAAUAAGCAUCGGCUAACUCCGUG